GUUUGUAUCAAAUCUUCCCCAGAUGUCAUAGAGGCUUUGUCCAACCCCAUUCGUUACGUCAACCUAUUGGAACAAAGGUCUAAACAGCUGGCAGCUCUUACAUUGGAGGACGGGGAGGAGACACAAACUGAGGAGGAAUCUGAACCAUGCACUGAGACUGACUUGAAGUCCGAUCAACUGGAAAAUGGGCUCAACAACGCUGCCGGUCCUGCAGGACACACCCCUGUCCCCACGAUGCCCAAAACUGCA
Molecule: long non-coding RNA, 249 nt
Organism: Cynoglossus semilaevis (tongue sole)
Lineage: Eukaryota; Metazoa; Chordata; Actinopteri; Pleuronectiformes; Cynoglossidae
Exons: 2
Source: RefSeq, a predicted model, not a curated record